AUCAUCCACGACAGCGGUCCAGAGUCGCUGAGAUAACCGGAACUGCAGAUGCCGGAGAACCAAGAUAACACGAUGUGCAGCUGGAUGUGCACAGCAGGCCAAGCAGCAUCAGAGGGUCUAGAUCCUUUGCUGAGACCAAGAUUUGUGCAAUUGAGAUACCAGCGAUCGUUGCCAAAGCCCUGUUCCCUGUGGGGAAGGUGAUGUUUAACUUUCGUGUGCUGCUGCAGUUUGUAUGAUAAAGGUGCUCAAAUGGAGCAUUGUGAGAGAAGUUACAGAUCAUUCAUCUAGCGAUACCGAAGAGCUAAUGGUGAUAUUACAAGUGGACUUUCAGGUAGGAAGCUCAAUAAUUGUAACACCAAACUCUGACAGAAUUACUCAAUUCAUCAGGACCUGGAUAUUCGCAUUGUGUAUUUCCACAAUUUUACUUCUGCACUAUUCUUAGUCUUUCAGAGGGAUCGAAAGGUUGAGUUACAGAUCUAUACAAUGACUGUCCUUCCUCGCUGGCUUCCCCCACCUCUCUCUUUUGGUAGUUUUAUGCAAACACUGACUGGAUCCCUUACCUGGAGGAUAUUUAUGAAUGAAUUUGUUCUAAUGGUG
Stegostoma tigrinum is the source of this 597-nucleotide long non-coding RNA. RefSeq lists it as uncharacterized. The transcript is spliced from 4 exons. NCBI's taxonomy places the organism in Eukaryota, Metazoa, Chordata, Chondrichthyes, Orectolobiformes, Stegostomatidae. The record is from RefSeq and is a predicted model, not a curated record.